UGAUCAUGGCUCAGGACGAACGCUGGCGGCGUGCCUAAUACAUGCAAGUCGAGCGGAAUGAUGAAGAAGCUUGCUUCUUCUGAUUUUAGCGGCGGACGGGUGAGUAACACGUGGGCAACCUACCUUGUAGAUUGGGAUAACUCCGGGAAACCGGGGCUAAUACCGAAUAAACCAUUUUGCUUCAUGGCAAGAUGUUGAAAGGCGGCUUCGGCUGUCACUACUAGAUGGGCCCGCGGCGUAUUAGCUAGUUGGUAGGGUAAUGGCCUACCAAGGCGACGAUACGUAGCCGACCUGAGAGGGUGAUCGGCCACACUGGGACUGAGACACGGCCCAGACUCCUACGGGAGGCAGCAGUAGGGAAUCUUCCACAAUGGACGAAAGUCUGAUGGAGCAACGCCGCGUGAGUGAAGAAGGUUUUCGGAUCGUAAAACUCUGUUGUAAGGGAAGAACACGUACGAGAG
This 461-nucleotide ribosomal RNA is filed under the name Firmicutes bacterium 255-2. RNAcentral describes it as "SSU rRNA". It matches the Rfam family "Bacterial small subunit ribosomal RNA", at positions 14 to 461 of the family's 1533-position model. Lineage: Bacteria; Bacillati; Bacillota. The record is from RNAcentral.